RNAcentral lists this long non-coding RNA (506 nucleotides) under Nicotiana benthamiana. RNAcentral describes it as "long non-coding RNA (NBEN_LNC014002)". Lineage: Eukaryota; Viridiplantae; Streptophyta; Magnoliopsida; Solanales; Solanaceae. The record is from RNAcentral.
CUCUAGAAUCUCUCUAAUUAAAGACAUUCACCUUAAAUAGAAGUGUAUUUAUAACAAAAUAAAUGUUUAACAUGUUUGAUUUGUUAGUAUGAUUGAUUAAUUGAUUGUUUGAGAACUAAACAUAUCGUAAUGUCUUAUUAACGGUUAACUGGAUAGAGUUAAGUAGUAGUCACGAAGAAAGUGUUGUCUGGGAGGGUAAUAUGUACACAGGCCUUAUGCCUACCCGAAAGGGUAGAGGCUGUUUCCAAUCGACCCUUGGCGCCCCCAAACAUAUCGUAAUGUCUUAUUGAUGGUUAACUGGAUAGAGUUAAGUAGUAGCCCCGAAGAAAUAUGUGAUUAAACUUUGUGCAAUUCAUUAUAUAAUAAUUAUAUACUAUAUUAAAAGCACGAAUAUCCUUAGCGAAAUGUCGUUCGCUCUUUUUACCCCUUAAAACUAUGUUUCACAUUGGACAUAAUUGUAAUUUAUAUUAUUUUUCUAAUAUUUAAAGCUUUAUGAAGUAAUAUUA